Molecule: ribosomal RNA, 440 nt
Filed under: Fusarium sp. NRRL 22900
Lineage: Eukaryota; Fungi; Ascomycota; Sordariomycetes; Hypocreales; Nectriaceae
Description: eukaryotic LSU rRNA
Rfam family: Eukaryotic large subunit ribosomal RNA
Source: RNAcentral
UUUGAUGCGGUGCCUUCCGAGUUCCCUGGAACGGGACGCCAUAGAGGGUGAGAGCCCCGUCUGGUUGGAUGCCAAAUCUCUGUAAAGCUCCUUCAACGAGUCGAGUAGUUUGGGAAUGCUGCUCUAAAUGGGAGGUAUAUGUCUUCUAAAGCUAAAUACCGGCCAGAGACCGAUAGCGCACAAGUAGAGUGAUCGAAAGAUGAAAAGCACUUUGAAAAGAGAGUUAAAAAGUACGUGAAAUUGUUGAAAGGGAAGCGUUUAUGACCAGACUUGGGCUUGGUUAAUCAUCUGGGGUUCUCCCCAGUGCACUUUUCCAGUCCAGGCCAGCAUCAGUUUUCCCCGGGGGAUAAAGGCGGCGGGAAUGUGGCUCUCUUCGGGGAGUGUUAUAGCCCGCCGUGUAAUACCCUGGGGGGGACUGAGGUUCGCGCAUCUGCAAGGAU